Molecule: ribosomal RNA, 254 nt
Filed under: uncultured bacterium
Lineage: Bacteria
Description: partial 16S ribosomal RNA
Rfam family: Bacterial small subunit ribosomal RNA
Source: RNAcentral
CACGUAGGGGCCAAGCGUUGUCCGGAUUUAUUGGGCGUAAAGAGCUCGUAGGCGGUUCGACAAGUCGGGUGUGAAAACUCCGGGCUCAACCCGGAGACGCCACCCGAUACUGUCGUGACUGGAGUCCGGUAGGGGAGUGGGGAAUUCCUGGUGUAGCGGUGAAAUGCGCAGAUAUCAGGAGGAACACCGGUGGCGAAGGCGGCCAUCUGGACGGAUACUGACGCUGAGACGCGAAAGCGUGGGGAGCAAACAGG